Dermacentor silvarum is the source of this 479-nucleotide long non-coding RNA. RefSeq lists it as uncharacterized. The record is from RefSeq and is a predicted model, not a curated record. Lineage: Eukaryota; Metazoa; Arthropoda; Arachnida; Ixodida; Ixodidae. The transcript has 3 exons.
GUAGUUAGCGUGCACAAAAGAGCCAGAAGAUACCUCGUGUCUCGCUGCGAACUCGCCGUAUGCGUGGCGCGCCAGGCAAAUGUGGACCAACGAUUUUUAUGUCGUGGCCUUUGUCUGGUUGUCGUGGAAAGUUGGGUGGACGUCGAAAAAAAAUAAUGCGUAUUGUUAGCGUGCCUCAGCUCGUCCACUACGCAGCGACAUCUAUGAUGGGAGUAAUGUCGUCGACGCAGCACCGGCAACUUGGAGAGCGUCGUACCAUUGAAAAGUGGUGAGAGCGUGACCCUAUAGCAGUGUCAACAUAAUGGCAGGGAAAUGCAGGGAUCCCGCAGCCAUGGCUACAGCAGCACAGGGUGUAAUCUGGAUGUCAUGUCAGCACCCGGAUGCGUCACAUCAUAUGCCUACGGUGAAAUACGAGGGAACUAGCCUGCUGCAAGCAAGAGCCCUCCAUGUACAGCUCGAAUCGAUCAAGAUUGACGAAG